AGCGAGUAGGAGGUGUUGAAUAUCUCUGGGCCAAUUCGGCAUCACAGAGGACAGCUGCCUGCCCUGGCAGUCCAGUUUGCCUGCUGGGCCCCUCUCCCCAUCCUUUGACCGCGGGCCUUUCCGGGGUUCAGCCGAGCAGAUGAGCAUCAGCAGCAGGAGGGAGGUGAUGACGCGCAUGAUGAGGGGGUGGAGAAAGAGGCUUCCGGAGGGUUGAAGUGAAGGGACACAGGAGGCUGGUCAAACCUGCGGUCACACCUGCACUUAGCAACAGAACAGUUGCAAACUGUCUGAGCCACCCACAAAGGAAGUGCAUGCUCCGAGGAAGCUGGAAUAACCUCGGGGGAUGGAAAGAGUUCAGGCGUCCAAAGGAAAGAGUUCACAAACACAAAGGUCGGUGUGUUUUAGAGGAAAAAAGAGAAACCGAGUGAGCUUCCAUUCAUUCUAAGCGUCGUACACAGUGGAGAUGUCCAUCAGUGAGGCAUUUAAUUCAAGACAUUUUUUAUGUCCACCCAUUGGGAUAAGUUCCACGUGUGUGUGGCAAAAUGGUGAAUUUCAGACUGAAAAAGUAAAGGUAUAUGAAUUGCAAAGAAAAAGCAGCGGGUGAGAGGGGGAAAGCAUGUUUUAUGUUUGUAUGGAGCCAGCAAGAGAGAAGCCUCAGACAACCAUGAGAGCCUAAUUGGAACCAGACGAGUUCACCUCUGUAGCCUGGAGAAAGGAAGACUAAAAAAAAA
Long non-coding RNA from Oryzias melastigma (Indian medaka), 731 nucleotides. RefSeq lists it as uncharacterized. The record is from RefSeq and is a predicted model, not a curated record. The transcript is spliced from 3 exons. NCBI's taxonomy places the organism in Eukaryota, Metazoa, Chordata, Actinopteri, Beloniformes, Adrianichthyidae.